AGCUUUGCACAGUGGCAAUGAGGUUUAUCCGAGGCGCGGGUAUUGCUAAUUGAAGCCUUUUCCCAAUACCCUGCCUGACGACUUGGUAGUUGGCACUGGCAAUUACUGACGGUCUCUACGGAGA
Myotis lucifugus (little brown bat) is the source of this 124-nucleotide small nuclear RNA. Its record names the gene U4. It matches the Rfam family "U4 spliceosomal RNA". From Rfam's summary of the family: U4 small nuclear RNA (U4 snRNA) is a component of the major U2-dependent spliceosome. The structure of U4 snRNA from yeast and human has been reported. U4 snRNA presents a k-turn RNA motif in the 5p-SL related to recognition of Snu13 protein. The record is from Ensembl. NCBI's taxonomy places the organism in Eukaryota, Metazoa, Chordata, Mammalia, Chiroptera, Vespertilionidae.